UAAAAACUUACAAGUUGGCCCAAUUAUUUCAGAGGGUUUGAAUCUGAAUGUAGAGAUUAUACGGGUUAUUACAAGUGAACUUAAGAGUCAAUAUAUAAGCAUAUAAGGUUAGUGCCUUGAUAAGCCCAUACAUCGCAACAUACCAUAGAGAAGUUGUCGCCGGCCCAUGCUUUGGGUGAUCACCAGAAACACCAGCUUCUUAAUUGUAGGAUAACCUCAAGAUCUUGCUGACAAAAGCAAAUAUAUUUAAGUGAAAUGAAAUCACACGCUAAGUUCCAUGUUCAUAAUUUUGUAGUCUUUUAUCAGUUUACUAAUAGUAAUUUAACAAUUUACCAUUCACAUAAAUGAAAUAAAAACCAUUGCUUCACAGGUUCUUAUUUAUUUGCAGAAAACUAGUAGUCUAAACUUUGAUCUUUGGAUAUCAAAAAAAAAAACUUUGAUCUUUGCAUAGAAUAAUAUAUACACAAUAGAUUAUAUAUACAAGUACUAGAUAAUAUUCGUAACCUAAAUAAAGCUAAACUGACCAUGAAACAAGGUUCUAAAAAGUUCUUAUAACUUCUGCAAGUAUUUUUUUUUUUUAAAGAAAGUAUGUUUAGAGUUUUUUUUAAAUAGGCUUAAGUAUGUGUUAAGUAGAGUUUUAGGGUUUAUACUAAAGUUACUACUCUACAAGGGACAGACUGCCAAAAGCUGAAAGUUGAAAUAACAAUCAUCAACAUCCCAACCGAAAGCGAUUGUGGAGUCUGGAGAUAAACGUAUGUAAAUCUUUAUAUAUAAAGUAUGGUUUGAUCUCUCCUGGUGAAGCCAUCUAGGAUUCCAGAUCACAAAUUCGGUUUUUGUGAGUGUGACACGUGUCCGGCUUCCCCAAAACGCAGAGCUUCAUUUAUUCUGAAUGGAUUAUUUGGGCUUCUAUAGCUUAUAGUUGGGUUUCGUCUUUUUGUUUGGGCUUAUAACUAAACAACCCACCUGAUUGUCUUUUACCUUCUUCACGAACGGCAAAACCAGGGUUCAUCUGUGUUAUUCCUCUGUUACUAGCUAAAGCUACAAUGGUGUCCAUUUGGGGAUCCUUCAGGCGACAGACGGUGGUGAAAAUUAGGGUUAGCCGUUAUCUUCACAAUGAACGAGCUUGAGCAACAAUGGCGAUCUAAUCGAUUAAAACGCAUCGUCGUUUCGUAUUUGGUCCUGAACCCCCAGACGUUACGACUCUCUUCUUUCAUCGGCUUUAAGAGAUGUCUUAACUCCACCGACGCAAUUAAGCACGACGUCUCAUUCAAUCAUACUCAUUCAACUCCAAGGCCGUUUUUUUACUUAUAAAAAAGGUGUGGUUGCUCCGAUCCAGGUGUGGAUGCUCCAAUUCUGGGAGGCCGAAAAAGCACAACGCGGUGAUGAGUUAAUGGGGGUUGAUAUGCUCCUCUUCGAUGUGAAGUCAACCCUCAUGCCAGCCACCGUGAACGUUCACCGGCUAGCCAAUUUCAGGGAUCGUCUCCAGGCUGCGGAUUUGAUAUCACUCGGUGCAACCAGAACUUCAGGCUUUCAGACUCACUUAUGACAAUACUGUUCAGUGAUUCAACCAAUCUAGAUGUGCUAACCGAACCAUAUUCACCCAUUCCUGUAAAACGUUUCAGGUUCCGUGAUUAGCCAGCACCAACACCUCUUCCAUGAACGUUAUUGGUGAGCUCACUGCUGUGAAAAGUACAGUGAGUGACAUUUAGUCUAGCGAGUUAUGGGACUUUUAAGAUCGACAGGUAAACUCUCUUCUACAUAUGAAUCUAUUCAAUACUUUCAUAAAUUAUCUUACUUUUCUUUUGAAUAUACAUUGACC
Molecule: long non-coding RNA, 1819 nt
Organism: Brassica rapa (field mustard)
Lineage: Eukaryota; Viridiplantae; Streptophyta; Magnoliopsida; Brassicales; Brassicaceae
Source: RefSeq, a predicted model, not a curated record